Molecule: ribosomal RNA, 1235 nt
Filed under: metagenome
Description: bacterial LSU rRNA
Rfam family: Bacterial large subunit ribosomal RNA
Source: RNAcentral
UGAAUACGAGACGCUACGGCGUCGAAGCAGUCUAUGUCAUACUUCCAAGAAAAGCUUGCACUGUCAUAAACAAAUAAUGCCUGUACCAUAACCGACACAGGUGGGUAGGUAGAGUAUACUAAGGGGCGCGAGAUAACUCUCUCUAAGGAACUCGGCAAAAUGACUCCGUAACUUCGGGAGAAGGAGUGCCUUAUUUAUAAGGUUGCAAUAACAAGAUCCAAGCAACUGUUUAUCAAAAACACAGGUCUCCGCUAAGUCGUAAGACGAUGUAUGGGGGCUGACGCCUGCCCAGUGCCAGAAGGUUAAAGAAGUUGGUUAGCAUUAGCGAAGCUGAUAACUGAAGCCCUGGUGAACGGCGGCCGUAACGAUAACGGUCCUAAGGUAGCGAAAUUCCUUGUCGGGUAAGUUCCGACCCGCACGAAAGGCGUAAUGAUUUGGAUACUGUCUCAGAGAGGGGCUCGGUGAAAUAGACUUGUCUGUGAAGAUGCGGACUACCUGCACCAGGACAGAAAGACCCUAUGAAGCUUUACUGUAACUUGAAAUUGAAAUUGGACUUUAUUUGCGCAGUAUAGGUGGGAGGCAUUGAUAAUAUUCUUGCGGGAAUGUUGGAGCCAUCAGUGAGAUACCACUCUUGUAAUGUUAGAUUUCUAACUUUGGAUCAUUAUCUGGUCAAAGGACAGUUUCAGGCGGGCAGUUUGACUGGGGCGGUCGCCUCCUAAAUGGUAACGGAGGCGCACAAAGGUUUCCUCUGAACGGGUAGAAAUCGUAUCUAGAGUGUAAAGGCAUAAGGAAGCUUGACUGUGAGACCUACAAGUCGAGCAGGGACGAAAGUCGGUCUUAGUGAUCUGACGGUGCUGAGUGGAAAGGCCGUCACUCAACGGAUAAAAGUUACUCUAAGGAUAACAGGCUGAUCUCCCCCAAGAGUUCACAUCGACGGGGAGGUUUGGCACCUCGAUGUCGGCUCAUCGCAUCCUGGGGCGGUAGUACGUCCCAAGGGUUGGGCUGUUCGCCCAUGAAAGCGGUACGCGAGCUGGGUUCAGAACGUCGUGAGACAGUUCGGUCCAUAUCCGGUGUAGGCGUUAGAAUAUUGAGAGGAGCCUUCUUUAGUACGAGAGGACCGAGAAGGACAUACCUCUGGUGUACCAGUUAUCGUGCCAACGGUAAACGCUGGGUAGCUAUGUAUGGAGAGGAUAACCGCUGAAAGCAUCUAAGUGGGAAGCCCACCUCAAGAUAAG